GAAAGAAGAUUGUGGGCUGAGUAUUGGACAUCUGUUCUUGAAUAGUCCCUGGGCCUGCCAUAGGAAAGGAAGUUCUCCUGGGUUACGGU
This 89-nucleotide long non-coding RNA is filed under the name Macaca fascicularis (crab-eating macaque). RNAcentral describes it as "lncRNA (ENSMFAG00000065188.1)". The record is from RNAcentral. Lineage: Eukaryota; Metazoa; Chordata; Mammalia; Primates; Cercopithecidae.